RNAcentral lists this ribosomal RNA (253 nucleotides) under uncultured bacterium. RNAcentral's name for it is "partial 16S ribosomal RNA". It matches the Rfam family "Bacterial small subunit ribosomal RNA", at positions 524 to 776 of the family's 1533-position model. The record is from RNAcentral.
UACGUAGGGUGCGAGCGUUGUCCGGAAUUAUUGGGCGUAAAGGGCUCGUAGGCGGUUUGUCGCGUCGGGAGUGAAAACGCCGUGCUUAACACGGCGCUUGCUUUCGAUACGGGCAGACUAGAGGUAUGCAGGGGAGAGCGGAAUUCCUGGUGUAGCGGUGAAAUGCGCAGAUAUCAGGAGGAACACCGGUGGCGAAGGCGGUUCUCUGGACAGUUCCUGACACUGAGGCACGAAGGCCAGGGGAGCAAACGGG